GUAUAUGUUUCUGUACAUGGCUUGGCAUGAGAUUUAUAACAAAACGCACCAUUAAAACAGUGUUUUGAAACCCUAGUUUUUUACAAAAUGUGUUCUCAGAACGCUGCAAAUUUGGCUUUCCGGGAUUCAAAUUUUAAAAUUUUCCCGUGCCUUCGGCACGAGGCCCCCAAUAUUUCGUAAAGUGUCGCCACUGGUAUUUUCAUUAAAAUUAUCAAAAGUUAAAUGUCAGUAUAUGCUGUUUCUUCUGAAAUCUACAGUCCUACAGAUUUCAAGCUC
Paramuricea clavata is the source of this 276-nucleotide non-coding RNA. The record is from the annotation of a GenBank genome assembly. Lineage: Eukaryota; Metazoa; Cnidaria; Anthozoa; Malacalcyonacea; Plexauridae.